RNAcentral lists this ribosomal RNA (1295 nucleotides) under Bacillus sp. (in: firmicutes). RNAcentral's name for it is "bacterial SSU rRNA". It matches the Rfam family "Bacterial small subunit ribosomal RNA", at positions 79 to 1362 of the family's 1533-position model. Lineage: Bacteria; Bacillati; Bacillota; Bacilli; Caryophanales; Bacillaceae. The record is from RNAcentral.
UUGCUCCCGGAUGUUAGCGGCGGACGGGUGAGUAACACGUGGGUAACCUGCCUGUAAGACUGGGAUAACUCCGGGAAACCGGAGCUAAUACCGGAUAGUUCCUUGAACCGCAUGGUUCAAGGAUGAAAGACGGUUUCGGCUGUCACUUACAGAUGGACCCGCGGCGCAUUAGCUAGUUGGUGAGGUAACGGCUCACCAAGGCGACGAUGCGUAGCCGACCUGAGAGGGUGAUCGGCCACACUGGGACUGAGACACGGCCCAGACUCCUACGGGAGGCAGCAGUAGGGAAUCUUCCGCAAUGGACGAAAGUCUGACGGAGCAACGCCGCGUGAGUGAUGAAGGUUUUCGGAUCGUAAAGCUCUGUUGUUAGGGAAGAACAAGUGCAAGAGUAACUGCUUGCACCUUGACGGUACCUAACCAGAAAGCCACGGCUAACUACGUGCCAGCAGCCGCGGUAAUACGUAGGUGGCAAGCGUUGUCCGGAAUUAUUGGGCGUAAAGGGCUCGCAGGCGGUUUCUUAAGUCUGAUGUGAAAGCCCCCGGCUCAACCGGGGAGGGUCAUUGGAAACUGGGAAACUUGAGUGCAGAAGAGGAGAGUGGAAUUCCACGUGUAGCGGUGAAAUGCGUAGAGAUGUGGAGGAACACCAGUGCGAAGGCGACUCUCUGGUCUGUAACUGACGCUGAGGAGCGAAAGCGUGGGGAGCGAACAGGAUUAGAUACCCUGGUAGUCCACGCCGUAAACGAUGAGUGCUAAGUGUUAGGGGGUUUCCGCCCCUUAGUGCUGCAGCUAACGCAUUAAGCACUCCGCCUGGGGAGUACGGUCGCAAGACUGAAACUCAAAGGAAUUGACGGGGGCCCGCACAAGCGGUGGAGCAUGUGGUUUAAUUCGAAGCAACGCGAAGAACCUUACCAGGUCUUGACAUCCUCUGACAACCCUAGAGAUAGGGCUUUCCCUUCGGGGACAGAGUGACAGGUGGUGCAUGGUUGUCGUCAGCUCGUGUCGUGAGAUGUUGGGUUAAGUCCCGCAACGAGCGCAACCCUUGAUCUUAGUUGCCAGCAUUCAGUUGGGCACUCUAAGGUGACUGCCGGUGACAAACCGGAGGAAGGUGGGGAUGACGUCAAAUCAUCAUGCCCCUUAUGACCUGGGCUACACACGUGCUACAAUGGACAGAACAAAGGGCUGCGAGACCGCAAGGUUUAGCCAAUCCCACAAAUCUGUUCUCAGUUCGGAUCGCAGUCUGCAACUCGACUGCGUGAAGCUGGAAUCGCUAGUAAUCGCGGAUCAGCAUGCCGCGG